RNAcentral lists this ribosomal RNA (409 nucleotides) under uncultured bacterium. RNAcentral describes it as "bacterial SSU rRNA". It matches the Rfam family "Bacterial small subunit ribosomal RNA", at positions 364 to 765 of the family's 1533-position model. The record is from RNAcentral.
UUGGACAAUGGGGGCAACCCUGAUCCAGCCAUGCCGCGUGAGUGAAGAAGGCCCUCGGGUUGUAAAGCUCUUUUGUCCGGAAAGAAAAGCAUUCGGUGAAUACCCGGAUGUUCUGACGGUAACGGAAGAAUAAGCACCGGCUAACUUCGUGCCAGCAGCCGCGGUAAUACGAAGGGUGCAAGCGUUACUCGGAAUUACUGGGCGUAAAGCGUGCGUAGGUGGUUGUUUAAGUCUGAUGUGAAAGCCCUGGGCUCAACCUGGGAAUGGCAUUUGAAACUGGGCAGCUAGAGUGCGGUAGAGGGUAGUGGAAUUCCCGGUGUAGCAGUGAAAUGCGUAGAGAUCGGGAGGAACAUCUGUGGCGAAGGCGACUGCCUGGACCAGCACUGACACUGAGGCACGAAAGCGUGGG